UGCGCAGGCGGUUUUGUAAGUCUGACGUGAAAUCCCCGGGCUCAACCUGGGAAUUGCGUUGGAGACUGCAAGGCUAGAAUCUGGCAGAGGGGGGUAGAAUUCCACGUGUAGCAGUGAAAUGCGUAGAAAUGUGGAGGAACACCGAUGGCGAAGGCAGCCCCCUGGGUCAAGAUUGACGCUCAUGCACGAAAGCGUGGGAGCAAACA
RNAcentral lists this ribosomal RNA (206 nucleotides) under uncultured bacterium. Its description in RNAcentral is "partial 16S ribosomal RNA". It matches the Rfam family "Bacterial small subunit ribosomal RNA", at positions 568 to 774 of the family's 1533-position model. The record is from RNAcentral.